UGGGAGGUUUUGGGAUCUGGAACGGAGGUGUAGAUUUAAAGAUACUUUUUACUAACAUCAUAUCUGUGUUACUUUGCUAUCCAUGCUUAGAAUUACAACAUACGCAUAGUCUAGGUUGCUCUAGAUUGGUUACCUUUGCUCUAUUUGUUAUCUUUCUGUAGAUGCUUAGUAGAUUGGAUCUGAAUCUCUCAUAAACACCAAGUUAAUACUAACAAUGCUAGUUGAAAUAGAUCUUCUGUUAUAAGUUCCAUGGAUUGAUAAACCUUGGGGGAAUACUCUAAGGGAUGAGGUACAACUGAUCUAUACGCUUGCGGUUCACAAAUUGGUGUGCUAAUAGCCGUCAACAAGCUUUUCUGGAGCCGUUGGCCGGGAACUAAAAGUCAAGUUCUAGUUUAACUAUGCAUCUGUAGAUAUAACUUUUUGUUCAUGAUUUUUCAGUCUUUUCUUUUUAAUCUUUUUGUUUUUUUGCAAUCUCAAUCAAAAUUUCAGAUCUAGUUCUUGUAU
Molecule: long non-coding RNA, 504 nt
Filed under: Setaria viridis
Lineage: Eukaryota; Viridiplantae; Streptophyta; Magnoliopsida; Poales; Poaceae
Description: long non-coding RNA (SVIR_LNC000880)
Source: RNAcentral